RNAcentral lists this ribosomal RNA (761 nucleotides) under uncultured Sordariomycetes. RNAcentral describes it as "SSU rRNA". It matches the Rfam family "Eukaryotic small subunit ribosomal RNA", at positions 804 to 1590 of the family's 1831-position model. Lineage: Eukaryota; Fungi; Ascomycota; Sordariomycetes. The record is from RNAcentral.
UUAGCAUGGAAUAAUAAAAUAGGACGUGUGGUUCUAUUUUGUUGGUUUCUAGGACCGCCGUAAUGAUUAAUAGGGACAGUCGGGGGCAUCAGUAUUCAAUUGUCAGAGGUGAAAUUCUUGGAUCUAUUGAAGACUAACUACUGCGAAAGCAUUUGCCAAGGAUGUUUUCAUUGAUAAGGAACGAAAGUUAGGGGAUCGAAGACGAUCAGAUACCGUCGUAGUCUUAACUAUAAACUAUGCCGACUAGGGAUCGGACGAUGUUAUCUUUUGACUCGUUCGGCACCUUUCGAGAAAUCAAAGUGCUUGGGCUCCAGGGGGAGUAUGGUCGCAAGGCUGAAACUUAAAGAAAUUGACGGAAGGGCACCACCAGGGGUGGAACCUGCGGCUUAAUUUGACUCAACACGGGGAAACUCACCAGGUCCAGACACAGUGAGGAUUGACAGAUUGAUAGCUCUUUCUUGAUUCUGUGGGUGGUGGUGCAUGGCCGUUCUUAGUUGGUGGAGUGAUUUGUCUGCUUAAUUGCGAUAACGAACGAGACCUUAACCUGCUAAAUAGCCCUUAUUGCUUCGGCAGUAUGCUGGCUUCUUAGAGGGACUAUCGGCUCAAGCCGAUGGAAGUUUGAGGCAAUAACAGGUCUGUGAUGCCCUUAGAUGUCCUGGGCCGCACGCGCGUUACACUGACAAAGCCAGCGAGUAUUUCCUUGGCCGGAAGGCCGGGUAAUCUUGUUAAACUUUGUCGUGCUGGGGAUAGAGCAUUGCAAU